AUAAAAAUAUCCAACGAAUAGCUGCACUCACGGUGAUUAAAAAGCAAAAUUUAUUAGAAAUAGAUUAAAACAUCAAUGAUCAACGUUUCAGUCCGUCCAGGACUUUCCUCAGGAUCAAUAAAAAGAUCUUUUUAUUGAUCCUGAGGAAAGUCCUGGACGGACUGAAACGUUGAUCAUUGAUGUUUUAAUCUAUUUCUAAUAAAUUUUGCUUUUUAAUCACCGUGAGUGCAGCUAUUCGUUGGAUAUUUUUAUAUGGAUGGCUAUAUUUAGCUAGCACCCGGGACACAAGGACAUUUGGAGCGUGAGUGCAGGGGCUUCUUGUAUUUUUAUAUAUAUAUAUAUAUAUAUAUAUAUAUAUAUAUAUAGUUUUUUAAUAUGUAAUCCAAGGUUCUGCACACGCCUGUCACAAGUACUUGCCAAGGAACAAUCUCCAGCCUUGGGUAAACAAUGGACACAAAGGAGAGCUCUCACUGCACUUUCAACCAAAUUCAAAUAUUUAUUGUGAAUACAGUCAUAUUAUAUCAACGUUGUAAAGUCUAUAAAAGGCUUUCAUAAUUUCAUCAUUUUUCUGAUGACAGUCUUUAAUAGACUGAAACGUUGAUGUAAUGUUACUGAAUUCACAAUAAAUAUUCCAAUUUGGUUGAAAAGUCCAGUGAGAACUCUCCUUUGUGACCAUUUUUUAAAUCUGAUUUUUUUUAUAUAUAUAUAUUUUAAUACUUUGAAACAAUUAUUUUAAAAGUUUAUCCAAACAUAUUGAAUCAUUUUUGAAAAGCUUAUUCAAAAAUUUUAAAUCGAGGCCUUAGUGACUAAACUCCACAGUGUAUUUUUUUUUCUUGGAAAGAGGAGUUGAGAUAUUAAUUUUUAGUAAAAGGAACAUUAUAACGUUAGGAAUUCAAAUGUGCACUCCUAACGCUAUACUUCCCUAGCAACGUUUGGGUGACCUCCAGCUGAAAGGGUUAAACAGGUUAAACAGUUAAGUUACCUUUUCUUUGACUCAGCGCUAGUCUAUGGCAUUCUGUUCUGCCUGUUUUCUACGAUGAUCAUCCAGAUUGAACUAGUUUAGUAUUACUGCACUAUUUCAGCGAAAGCGCCUCUAGUGGCUGUCAGUAUGAUCAGCGUGGAUUUUACAAACCAACAGUUGGUUUGAAAGUAGUUUAAUAGAUGUUACAAAGUAUAUUAUUAAUGCUACAUUUCAUAAAAUUUGUUUGGGGUUGGCAGAAAAAACAUGUCCAUACUUAUCAGGUAGAUAACCCCUUAUGACUACAAUGUAUUAGUAAAUGUACAGUUUGUUUUAUUCCAACCCUUCUAAUUGGCUAUUCACAAGUUCGUAAGGUCGGAGAAUUGCCAGGUUAUUGAGGAGUUUAUACAAAAAUUGUAUCAACUGAAAAGGUUAAAAUUUUAACUUUGUGGAUUAAUUGACCUACUUGCAAAUGAUUAGACUAAAACAAAAAUAUACUUAGCAUAAUUAUGUUGAUUUGAAUAAUUUGUUGAGUGGUAGGUUUAACUUCACACUAGGCUUGGAGAUUUCUUUCGGUCCAAACAGCAAUUCACUCAAAUUUGGGCUGAUCAGGUGAUCAGUCGAAUUACUAAAUUCUGAACAGAAAUGUAGCCAAAUCACGAGCCAAAAGAAACGCACAAUGGUAGAGCAUGUUCGAUUUGGUUUAUGAUUCAGAAUUUGUGCGAAAGAUGCAAAAAAAGAUGAUUGAUUGUUAGUGAAUAGUCACUAAAUUUUAUUCACAAAUCAAGUGAGAUGUGGUUAAUAGUGGGAAAAAUUGAGUAGUUGUAAAAAAACCAAACAUAUAGAAACAUAGAAACAUAGAAUGUGACGGCUGAUAAGAACCAUUCGGCCCAUCUAGUCUGAUGGCAGAUAAGAACCAUUCGGCCCAUCUAGUCUGAUGGCAGAUAAGAACCAUUCGGCCCAUCUAGUCUGAUGGCAGAUAAGAACCAUUCGGCCCAUCUAGUCUAGCCCAAUAUAUUUCUAUAUUAUAUACUUAAUAAAUAUAUAAUAUAUAAAUAGUUAUUUUAUUACUCCUUUCAGCUUUUUUUUCUAUUGGUUACUUUUUUCUGAUUUUAUUUGUAAACCAAAUGGUUAUCAGUGUACUGCAAAUAUAUACAUAAUAUUAUAAUAUAUAAAUAUAUAUAUAUUUGAAAGACACUGAUUGGUUAAUUUGUGCACCCUUUUUGGUUAGCCGGAUUUGUUUCCCAAAUCGUUUUUUUCGGUACCCAAAUUCUACCAUAUGGCUGAAAUUUUGAGAAAAAUGGUUCAUCUGAAUUGAAUAUACUCAUUGUGCACAAGUCUAAUUUACACUUCUAGCAUUCACAUGGUUAAACUGAGCAUUAGUAAGCGCUACGGAAUCUGUUGGCGCUAUAUAAAUCGCAAUAAUAAUAAUAAUACAUUUAAUUACUAUGCCAAGCUAUCUCAUAUACUUUAUAAGUACAUUACUAGACAAUAUUUAAUCUUAUAUAUAUAUAUAUAUAUAUGUAUUGUCUUCACUUUUGCACUUAACAGUAAACAUGUUCCAGUAAUAUGUCUAUUGUGUACCUUAUUUCCACUUGACAUUCAUUUUUUUAUAUACCCUAGAGCAGGGAUGGGCAAAUGGUAGAUGCCCAGAUGUUGUAGAACUCCUACUUCUGUGAUGCUUCACCAUUCUGAAGGCUGGCAAAGCAUCAUGGUAUUUGUAGUUUGAAACAUCUUGGGUCCUGACUUUUACACAGCCCUGUCCUAGAGAUUGAAAUGUAUACUGAUGCAAAGAUGAAAACAUAGUAAAUUUUUGUAUAUCGGUACAAAAGACAAAACAUACUGAGGAAUUAUGAAUAACGAUGAAAAUGUUCUCAAUUAAUAAUUUGAUGAAGCAAAUAUUUACUUUUUAAGUGUGUAACACAGCAAUUACGGGUCAUCGUAAUUAUUCCUCAAAGCAUCAAUAAUGUCAUAAUGGAAUAUAUAGUAGAACUUUGAAACAAUAUCACAUACAUAUGUAAACAUUAUAGUACAUUUUACAGCUGCUAAGAGGCAAGAAAAAAAAAAAUCGAUUCUCUAUUCUGAUAGGCUGCGAUUUGCACCCAAUCAAAAUACAGUUGGAAUUUCAAUCAUGGUCAGUGACCAUAAAAUUAAAGUUAAUGAUCAACUCCAUACAUUUAAUUCACAGAUACAAACUUUGCAUAAGGUUCAAUUAAUGAUAUCACUGUCCAUUUAAAACAUGCCUUUCUCCCCUUCCAUCAUCUCCAAUAAUGUAUAUAAGUUCACUUGUGUUUUCCCUUGCAAUUAAAGAUUACAUUUAGCCCAUUGCAAGACAAAACACAUUUAGUUUAACUGGUGCAGAAUUAUAUUCUUUAGAGACAUACAUUUCUCUGCAGAAAAACAUAAAAUGGCAUUGGCCAACCCUUUUCUUCAAUAUUGACGUUUAUAUCCUGUUAUCAUUUUUCUGACGGUGCAUUGCUUAAAUUGCCAUUAAGUUUAUUAUUCAUACCCAUAUUAAUUUUUUUUUUUUUUACUUUGUUUUUUUAUAACAUCGUUUUUAUUACAUCAUACCCAUAUUAAAUAUUUUUCACUAAUUUUUUCAACACAUCUGUACACUAUAUGAAAAAAAAUGCAAUUUCUGCUUUUAUGCUAAUAUGUCAAAUGUUUUCCGAAAUAUAUAUUUUUAUUUUUUUAAGUUUUUGUAGUGAAGUUGUAAUUGUGGUUCUGUCACCAUAGUGGACUUUGCAUAUUUUGUGAUAGUGUUCUCUAACCUUGAAUAAAUAAAAAGUGCAUAGAACUAUUUAUGGAAGUUGGGCUAAAAAUGUUCAGAAGAUAUUUUUUAAAUUUACUUUUUGCAAACCCAUCUCUGAACUGAACCUCUGAAUUUGAACUUUUUAAACUUUUUAGAACUAAAAUAUUAUUUGUACUGAAAAGCAAAUUUAGACUAGUUUAAAGGAAAACGUCAACAUUAAAACUGAUAUACUGAUAUUAGCGUGUUCUUUUUGAAUUAUUAGUGCCAGACACUUAGCCUAAAUAAAAAAAUUAAAAAAUUAAAUAUUACCUUUUCAUUCAGUGCCAAAUCCUCUCACUGCUUUACACCAGACCAGGGCCAAUUUCAGUGACUACAGUCUUUCCUUCCGGUGAAAAUUUGUGCCUACGAACUGAUUGCCAUGAAUGUGUCAAUCAAAUCAGAUGAUUACCCAACAUAUUGCUUCUCGUAGGGAAGCAUAGAGCAAGGCUUCUCCAUAAAAGUGCUUUGUUUCUGCCUAAAACAUUGUUCAAAGUGGACUGAAUUAGUAAGCCUCCUGGGGUCUUCCUAAAUAGUUUGAAUCAAAACAUCUCUUGAAAUCUGCACUUUUAUGAAUUGGCUCAAGGGAGAAUGCAGCAAACUGAAGUGGUUUAGGGCUUUGGAGUUUCCUAUUAACCAAGCUGCGAAUGAAGGUGAUCUUGUCAUUAUUUCGGACUCUUCUAUUUUGAUCUAAAUUGAGAAAGAAAGAAUGUGUCUUUCAGGGCAUCACAGUUCAUUACAGUGUUUAAAUAUAUAAUGCUUUGUUAUUGUAAAAAAAAAAAAAUAUAGAAUAUCUAAUUUUUUUACUGUUUACUGCAUUAACACUUUUAUACAUUAGCAUAGCCUCUGUCGGUUGUCAUGUAAAUUAUACACAAAAAUACAUUUGUGUUGUUGCACAGCAAGAAAUGUUCUGCCUUGUGUAGUACAUAAAAAAAAAACUCAGCAGAUUAUACAAUAAGAUACUUCCACAAUAAGAUACUUGAGCAGUGUAAAGACUGUUACACAUUAAUGGUACACAAUUUUGUUAUUUAUUUGCUGUGUAUGUAUACAUGUAUAUGAAUGUAAAUUAUGUUUUGUAUAUACUAAUGGGAAUAGAAGCCUUUUUUACUCUAAAAUGUAAAUAUAGUUCAUUUAAAAUUUUGAACAUUAUUUGAAAUCAUUUAUUUUUAUUAUGCAAUAGCUACCUGUUUAUGUUUGUUUUAUUUUUUAUUCUUUGUUUUGAUGCCACAAUAAAGAUUGUAUAUCUGUGUAGUAAAA
This 5003-nucleotide long non-coding RNA is filed under the name Pelobates cultripes (western spadefoot toad). The record is from RNAcentral. Lineage: Eukaryota; Metazoa; Chordata; Amphibia; Anura; Pelobatidae.